AUGGCACAGGGAGGAUGUGGACCAAACUUGACAGCAGGUCCGGCUGGUUCAGAAGGGAGGUUUUCUUCCCAGCAAGUCCAGGCGAUCUACAGACUUGACCCUGGCUGCCCCUGGGACGGCAGCAAGGGAGAGAAACGGAAUGGGUGGAGCAGGAGGCGGAGGAGGGUCGGGGUGGAGGACUCACCGCAGCACAAGGCAAACCAGACCGCACAGCCUUGCGCCUCGGGCAGGCUUAGCAAUGGGCAGGUCGCUGCGACCGCAACCUCAAGGGUGGAGCAGCCAGCUGGGGCGAGUUCGGAGGCUGAGGGCACCCUCAGGGAUGGGCGGGAAAGCUUCAGGCCAACAGAGAGCGCAGGUGACAAGGUUGUUGAGUUCUUAGCAUGCUUUUGGCCACAUCUGUUCAACAGCCCGGAGAGCAACCCUGGCCAGAGCCUCACACCAAGGAAUUCCUGGACUCAGCUUCUACUGGAAGAAAAAACCCUGGAAGGCAAGAGGACACCGUGGGAGGCGGCAGCACCUUCCUCUCAUUUCCCAGUGUUUCUCCCAUUGUGCUCUUUGUCAGGAGAGGAGACGGUGGGAAGGGAAAAGCUCUCGUCAAGAAGAAUGACAAGAGAAGUGAGGGGGCCUUGUCUCUUCGAAAUCUGGAGUGUAGGAGCGAUUCCUGAGGUGUUCCUGUUUUCCUCUUUCUCAUCUUCACGUAGGGGCAUUGGGGGCUAUGUAUCCAUCGGUGCUCCGGCUGCUUUUCUAGAAACAGGCCUCUUUAGUUCUCAAGUAGAGAAGAGGGAGCUGCAAAGUGAGCUCGAGGCCAGCCUGAACCGCGAACCGCACAGCGAGACCCUGUCCCAGAAAGAAAAAAGAAAAAAAAGAAAGAAAGAAAAGGAUAGAAGAGGACAGUAUUGCACAUGGCAAGGCCCUCAAAGACCUGUAGUUUUGAGGGAGGGCUGUCCUUUGCUUGUUCUCUGCCUGGGUCAGCUCACUGCUGGGGAAUUCGGGUGCAUUCAUAGGCAGCAGCAUGUCAUGCCUACGCCCACGACCCGUGGAGCCUUCUCUGGUGCUGCUCCGUGGCUGGAGGAGACACUGGCACGGUGACCCCUGGGAUCCUCACAGGUAGUCUCCUUGGUAACACCGACUUUCCAUUGCAAUAAGCAGGGCUCGAGGGAGAUCGGCUGCCCAUAGCUGGACACACAGAGAGCUCACACCUCGCCCGCUGCUCUGCAGUUGCUGGGCCCUGUUUAACGCCCAGUGCAGCAGGUCAGGUGGAGGCCAGCUGCCUAAUGAACCUCUAAAUUAAAACCAUAUCGCACACUGAGCAUGAUAAAUGCCUUAUCUUUGGGGUCUGUCUCACUGAUGUGGACUCAUUAACUUAUACAGCACAGUCAGCUCUCAGAGCCAGGAGCAGAGAAACUGGAGGGUUUCAGAAGCAGCUUGUUGAUGUUUUUGUUUGCUUCCUUUAACCUCGCAUGGUGGACUUCGUGUUGGAAGACUGAGGAUUCUGGCCCAUGAGGAGCGAGGUUGGCGCUCAGAAUGACUAUCUGAGGAGUGGGAGCGGGCUUGCACGGCUGAGCCCACUGUGUCCUGGGGCCCUGGGUAAUGCUCACCAUCGCGCAGGAAAGCAGGGAAGACUAGAGGCUCCCUAGGGCUUGGCCUUGUGACCGAACCUCAGCCUGGAGGCGCUCCCUGCUGAAGCGUCAACACCUCUCCUUCGGCUCAGCGCUGCACACAGAGCUGUGGGAAACGAGAGCUGCCGGAAAUGGGAGGUCACCGAAGGUCUGAAGUUCAGUUGAACAAUAAAUGAUAAGGACAAUUUACCAAUUUUAUGAUAAGGACAUAUUUAAACAUUUAAUUGAAGCUAAUAAUAAAACUGAAUGCACUGUUCUCAGAUCAAGCUCAACUCAUUGAGUUUCUCAUGUUAUUAAAAGGAUUAAGGAUUUCCUUAAAAAUAAUAUUUCCUUUGAAGCAGAUGCUGUGUUGACUGGUAGUUAAAUUUUCUGAAUCUUAGACAUUUAGCAUCACUUUAGCUAAUUAGCUGCACUGCUUUAAUUUCCAACUACCGUGCCUUUGAGCUCUGUCUGGCUGCGUUGUGGUUUAUUUCUGGACGACGUCUCUCCCUAAAGGCUCACGUGCUCGUGGGUGGGGCUUCGCGGGUGUGAUCCUCAUCAAUGCAUCAGUCCGCUGAUGAGCUUUGGCUAAACGUGAUGUUGGGGGGAGGCGGGUCACUUCCGUGUUCGAUCGCGCUCUUUCUCUGCUUCCCACCGCCGGGCUAUGCGCUGUUUUUUCUGCCACUCCCCUCUGCCAAACUACCUUACCUUGGAGCCAGUGGACUAUGGAUUGAAAUCUCUACAAACUGUGGGCCAAAAUAAACUUCUCCUUCCUUAAAUUGUGCUUGUCGGGUAUUGUGUCCCGGCGGCCAGAAAGGAACUAAGACAGGCUAUCAUGUUGAUAUUAGUCUAACAGGAAAUUUGCUAAAAGGCCAAUAUGUUGAUUGCCUUGAGAAAGCUGUGGAAUUACCAUAGGUAGUAUUCCCCUCGCUAUAAGUGGGUGACUAUAUAUUGUUCAAACUGAGACACCUCUGAGAAUAACAGGAAGCUACAUUAACCCUUGUUUCAGAACACGGGUAAACUAGGACCUUCUUACCUAUAAGGCAAGUUCUUUUCCUUCCAAGUUAUUUCUCAAAAGAAGGGAGAUAUAGAUUUAAAAAUAUACAUGGCUAUAAACAUAGGUAGUAUUGCAGUUCUCACAAAGUUUCUCAUAAUCUAGGUCAUUUCAAGUUCUUUUUUAAUAAACAAAAAUCACAAAACACUGUAUAAUGAAGAUUCAGUACUCUGAAAUUAUCCAAUUACUGCUAGUUUUACAUUUUUCUAGAAAGCAGAUAAUAGAAAUGAGUUUUUAGAAAGAGAAAUAGAAAUUUGACACAGACUUAGUGAUUAUUCUGGAGAGUAGCCCCUCAAAAUUUCAAAUUCUGAUGUUGCAAACUCUUAAAAAAACAAAAAGGAAAAUGGAAAAAUGAUUGUUUCGUCAACUUACAGGAUAAGUAGAAACUCUUACUAUUGAAAAAGUUUAUGGUUUGGAAGAAAGUUUUCAGAAACAUUAUCAAAUGUGAUUUCAAAAAUGGCUGUGUUCCAAAUUACUGAAGAGUGCUUUGGACAAUUCAGUAAAAGAUAAAAAAUUUGCCAUUGUGAUAAGGGAGACAAUGAAGUUGGAAAAUAUAUGAGGAGUACGAACAAAACCAUUCUGAAAUAUGAUGUUGGGAAACAUUCCAGAUUAAGCAUUAUUUUGUAUAAUAUGAUUAUAAAUAUCAUGUAUAAUUCAGUUAACAAAUUAAAUACUAUGAGUAGACAUUUGAAUAUUUCAUCCAUGUCCUUAAAAAUUUAUAUAGUGUAUUAAAUUGUCCCAAAUCUUUUUUGGAUCUACUUACAAGGAAUCAUUUCUGUGUGUGUGUUUUCUUACAUCUAGGUCAUAGUCUAUUUGUGCUGCUAAAACAUAAUACCUGAGACUGAGUAAUACAUACAGAAGAGAACUUGGUCUCUUACAGUUCUGAGAGCUGGCAGAAUAGAUGAGGGCAUCCAUAGUUCUGGUUGUCUGGUGAGGGUCUUGCCUGUGCUUCCAAGAAGGUGCCUUGAAUGCCAUAUCCUUCAGGGGAGAUGAACUCUGUAUCCUUAUGACGCAGCCAGCAAAAGGGCAAAAGACACAAACUCCAUCAAGUCCUUAUAUAAGGGCCUCUGCUCCCAGGUGUGUAGGUGAAGCCUCAUGACUCAGUCACUCCCAAGAGCCACACCUCCUAACAAUACUGCACUGGGCAUGAAGUGCCAAUAUAAACUACGGUGGGGACAAACCAUUGAAGCCAUAGUGCUAGGCAUAUGUGUACUCACAUAUAGGUCUGUGUUCUGUGUAGGGGUGUCAAGGCAAGUUCCUGAGGUUAAAGCUGAGGGGAGAAGUAGUUCUCCUGACUUCCUGUCUGGGGAGAAAAUUCAUCAGAACACCAGGUAGUAGGAAAAUUUUAAGCCUGUGUGAUAUGUCUUUCUUGUCUUGAGCAUUGUUGCUAUCUUACAGAACCACCAUCACAUAUGCAGUAAGAGAUUGAGUGCAAGCAGGUCCUAAAGAUUGGUAGUUGACUGCUAGAGUUUUUACAGCCAAAAUUCUGUCCUGGCUAUGAUGGAUGGCCAAGAGACAGUUUCUUUCUGUCACAGUUGUCUGAAAGGCAGACUCCAGUGCUAAUUAAUUUGUUGUUAAGGUGUCCUGGAAUCAUUAUUAAAAGCAAGUCACUACGAACCUGCAAAGGAGGCUGUGAUGGCCUGAUGUCUUCUGGUAUCUCAGGAGGGCAGAAUCUGGGGAGGGCUGACAGUCACACUCUUGCACUGCCCAGCUCUGCAACUUCAAGUGAGACUCUUCAGCUUUUCAAGGAAGUUAGAGGGGUUCUUUCCAGAGUGAAUGAUCCCUCUUUUUUAAAAAAUGUAAAUAAAAAGAAAAGGACAACAGUAUUUAAACCAAAUAAAUGAUAUAGAAAACAAAUACGUCAGAAGUAAAAGGAAACAAAAGGCCAAUGUGGGCUAAAGUGAUGAAGGAACCCUGUGAUUUGUGGGCUCUCAGGACAAAAGGAAACCAGGUCUUCCAUUAGUUGUGGACUUCAGCUUUGUAGAUUUGUGAGUAGGAAGUAAACUGAGGGCCUGUCUUAGUUACUUUUCUCUCAUUGCUGAGACAAAAUACCCGAUACCCAACGUUAAAGCAGGAAAGAUUUAUUUAGCUCACAGUUGGUAGAGGUUUUAGUCUAUCAGCUGGCUCUGAGGCAAAGUGGCUUGGCAGGGAGCAACAGUUCAUGGUGGCAGGAGGAUAGCAAAAGCACCAAGAGAAGAAGGAAACAAGCUUCUUUCUGCCCCCUAUAUUGUAUCCAGCCUACCAGGCUGAGGGCAGUGCCAAUCCAAUCAGUGGACUGAUCAUCCACCAUUAAUCCCAGAAUUGCACCAUGAAUCAGUCACACACUCUAGAAUCAUCUACCUCUGAAAAAGCCCUAUGUAAAACUGCCUGAGGCUUUGGAGGGACAUCUAGACCCAAACCACAACAGGGCCUGAGAGGAGCAGUCACUUACUUAACAUUGUACAGUUGCCUGAAGGGGCCUCAGGAACCAAAGGACCUGUCCACUAGAGUCCUAAACCUAUGUCAGGUGUUGUGGAAGGGUUGGGGAGAAGUAAAUCAUCUGUUCUUGAUAGCCUUCCUCUAAACUGUGAAGACUCCAUUCUCAAUUUGUCCCUUUAACGGAACUUCAGAGAUGUUGAGGCACAGGGACCAGGCUUGGGGAUAGGCAAGGGGUGCACAGAUGGGGAACUCGGGGCGCUGAGCUACUGCCAGGAUCCCUGAAGUUAGUUUGCUCACUCCCCUCCUUUUCACUGAGGACCUGCAGAGGUGGUACCAGUUUGGAAGCAUAUGGCUUUGCACUCUUCCUCCUACCUUGCUGUAGUGAUCUGUACCACAAACAGCUGGCUAAUCAGUUAUUGGACUUCAUAGAACUCACUCAAACAACAAGUUUACCAUUGGAAGGCUAUGAGAUACAACUGAGAAACUAGAUUUUACAUCUGCUACCAUCCAGGAGAUUGCAAUUUCUCCACCCCUGAUUUUUUUUUUUUUUUCAGUGCUGGGGAUUGAACCCAGGACUUAGUGCAUACUAGGCAAAUGAACGACAUUCUCAAACCAUUUUUGUGUCUUUAAAAUUGGAACUCACAAGAAAUCAAAUCAUAACAAAUGCUAGUGGGACCUGGAGAAAAAAAAGCAACCCUUCUACAUGUUGGUGGGAAUGUAAACUAGUUCAACCACUGUGGAAAUCAGUAUGGAGAUUCCUCUAACAACAACAAAAAAAGGCACCUAGAAAUUCCAUUUGACCCAGCCAAUC
This 5881-nucleotide long non-coding RNA is filed under the name Chinchilla lanigera (long-tailed chinchilla). RNAcentral describes it as "lncRNA (ENSCLAG00000027472.1)". The record is from RNAcentral. Lineage: Eukaryota; Metazoa; Chordata; Mammalia; Rodentia; Chinchillidae.